Molecule: ribosomal RNA, 510 nt
Filed under: Capra hircus (goat)
Lineage: Eukaryota; Metazoa; Chordata; Mammalia; Artiodactyla; Bovidae
Description: partial 16S ribosomal RNA
Rfam family: Bacterial large subunit ribosomal RNA
Source: RNAcentral
GUUAAACGGCCGCGGUAUUCUGACCGUGCAAAGGUAGCAUAAUCAUUUGUUCUCUAAAUAAGGACUUGUAUGAACGGCCACACGAGGGUUUUACUGUCUCUUACUUCCAAUCAGUGAAAUUGACCUCCCCGUGAAGAGGCGGGAAUGAAUUAACAAGACGAGAAGACCCUAUGGAGCUUUAACUAACUAAUCCAAAAGAAAUAAAUUUAACCACCAAGGGAUAACAACAUCCUUUAUGGACUAGCAGUUUUGGUUGGGGUGACCUCGGAGAACAAGAGAUCCUCCGAGCGAUUUUAAAGACUAGACUUACAAGUCAAAUCAAAUUAUCGCUUAUUGAUCCAAAAAACUUGAUCAACGGAACAAGUUACCCUAGGGAUAACAGCGCAAUCCUAUUCAAGAGUCCAUAUCGACAAUAGGGUUUACGACCUCGAUGUUGGAUCAGGACAUCCUGAUGGUGCAACCGCUAUCAAAGGUUCGUUUGUUCAACGAUUAAAGUCCUACGUGAUCUGA